Molecule: ribosomal RNA, 444 nt
Filed under: uncultured bacterium
Lineage: Bacteria
Description: partial 16S ribosomal RNA
Rfam family: Bacterial small subunit ribosomal RNA
Source: RNAcentral
CUACGAGAUGCAGCAGUGGGGAAUAUUGCGCAAUGGGCGAAAGCCUGACGCAGCAACGCCGCGUGAGGGAUGAAGGCCUUCGGGUUGUAAACCUCUUUCAGCAGGGAAGAAGCGAAAGUGACGGUACCUGCAGAAGAAGCACCGGCUAACUACGUGCCAGCAGCCGCGGUAAUACGUAGGGUGCAAGCGUUGUCCGGAUUUAUUGGGCGUAAAGAGCUCGUAGGCGGUUAGUCACGUCGGAUGUGAAAAUCCAAGGCUUAACCUUGGACCUGCAUUCGAUACGGGCUGACUAGAGUGUUGUAGGGGAGACUGGAACUCCUGGUGUAGCGGUGAAAUGCGCAGAUAUCAGGAAGAACACCGAUGGCGAAGGCAGGUCUCUGGGCAACUACUGACGCUGAGGAGCGAAAGCGUGGGGAGCAAACAGGAUUAGAUACCCCUGUAGUC